This 70-nucleotide transfer RNA is filed under the name Dipodomys ordii (Ord's kangaroo rat). It matches the Rfam family "tRNA". From Rfam's summary of the family: Transfer RNA (tRNA) molecules are approximately 80 nucleotides in length. Their secondary structure includes four short double-helical elements and three loops (D, anti-codon, and T loops). The record is from Rfam by way of RNAcentral. Lineage: Eukaryota; Metazoa; Chordata; Mammalia; Rodentia; Heteromyidae.
GGGAAUAUAGCUUAGUGGUAGAGCGCUUGCCUAGCAUGCAUGCAGCCCUGGGUUUGAUUCCUCAGUACCA